RNAcentral lists this ribosomal RNA (774 nucleotides) under uncultured bacterium. Its description in RNAcentral is "bacterial SSU rRNA". It matches the Rfam family "Bacterial small subunit ribosomal RNA", at positions 62 to 846 of the family's 1533-position model. The record is from RNAcentral.
UCGAACGGGAACAGAAUGAAACCUAGUGAUUUUUGUUUUAGUGGCGGACGGGUGAGUAACGCGUGGGUAACCUGCCGUAUACAGGGGGAUAACACUUAGAAAUAGGUGCUAAUACCGCAUAAGCGCACAGCUUCGCAUGGAGCAGUGUGAAAAGCGUAAACGGUAUACGAUGGACCCGCGUCUGAUUAGCUAGUUGGCGGGGUAGAGGCCCACCAAGGCGACGAUCAGUAGCCGGCCUGAGAGGGUGACCGGCCACAUUGGGACUGAGACACGGCCCAAACUCCUACGGGAGGCAGCAGUGGGGAAUAUUGCACAAUGGGGGGAACCCUGAUGCAGCGACGCCGCGUGAGUGAAGAAGUAUUUCGGUAUGUAAAGCUCUAUCAGCAGGGAAGAAAAAAGACGGUACCUGACUAAGAAGCCCCGGCUAACUACGUGCCAGCAGCCGCGGUAAUACGUAGGGGGCAAGCGUUAUCCGGAUUUACUGGGUGUAAAGGGAGCGUAGACGGCAUAGCAAGUCUGAAGUGAAAGCCCGUGGCUCAACCGCGGAACUGCUUUGGAAACUGUUAAGCUGGAGUACUGGAGAGGCAAGCGGAAUUCCUAGUGUAGCGGUGAAAUGCGUAGAUAUUAGGAGGAACACCAGUGGCGAAGGCGGCUUGCUGGACAGAGACUGACGUUGAGGCUCGAAAGCGUGGGGAGCAAACAGGAUUAGAUACCCUGGUAGUCCACGCGGUAAACGAUGAAUGCUAGGUGUUGGCGGGCAAAGCCCGUCGGUGC